RNAcentral lists this ribosomal RNA (262 nucleotides) under uncultured archaeon. RNAcentral describes it as "partial 16S ribosomal RNA". It matches the Rfam family "Archaeal small subunit ribosomal RNA", at positions 748 to 1009 of the family's 1478-position model. The record is from RNAcentral.
UAGGCGUAAAUGAUGCGAGUUAAGUGUGGGGGCGAUCUACGAGAUGGCCCUGUGCUGUAGGGUAGCCGUUAAACUCGCUGCCUGGGGAGUACGGUCGCAAGGCUGAAACUUAAAGGAAUUGGCGGGGGGAGCACCACAAGAGGUGGAGGCUGCGGUUCAAUUGGACUCAACGCCGGAAACUCAUCGGGAGCGACAGCAGUAUGAUUGCCAGGUUGAUGACCUUGCUUGACAAGCUGAGAGGUGGUGCAUGGCGUAGUCGUGU